This 301-nucleotide ribosomal RNA is filed under the name uncultured bacterium. RNAcentral describes it as "partial 16S ribosomal RNA". It matches the Rfam family "Bacterial small subunit ribosomal RNA", at positions 509 to 807 of the family's 1533-position model. The record is from RNAcentral.
CAGUCGCCGCGGGAAUACGUAGGGUGCGAUCGUUAAUCGGAAUUACUGGGCGUAAAGCGUGCGCAGGCGGUUAUAUAAGACAGAUGUGAAAUCCCCGGGCUCAACCUGGGACCUGCAUUUGUGACUGUAUAGCUAGAGUACGGUAGAGGGGGAUGGAAUUCCGCGUGUAGCAGUGAAAUGCGUAGAUAUGCGGAGGAACACCGAUGGCGAAGGCAAUCCCCUGGACCUGUACUGACGCUCAUGCACGAAAGCGUGGGGAGCAAACAGGAUUAGAUACCCCGGUAGUCCCUGUCUCUUAUAC